GACGAACGCUGGCGGCGUGCUUAACACAUGCAAGUCGAACGGAAAGGCCCUGCUUUUGUGGGGUGCUCGAGUGGCGAACGGGUGAGUAACACGUGAGUAACCUGCCCUUGCCUUUGGGAUAACUUCAGGAAACUGGGGCUAAUACCGGCUAGGAGCUCCUGCUGCAUGGUGGGGGUUGGAAAGUUUCGGCGGUUGGGGAUGGACUCGCGGCUUAUCAGCUUGUUGGUGGGGUAGUGGCUUACCAAGGCUUUGACGGGUAGCCGGCCUGAGAGGGUGACCGGCCAAAUUGGGACUGAGAUACGGCCCAGACUCGUACGGGAGGCAGCAGUGGGGAAUAGUGCACAAUGGGAGGAAGCCUGAUGCAGCAACGCCGCGUGCGGGAUGACGGCCAUGGGGUUGUAAACCGAUGUCGCCUGUGACGAAGCGUGAGUGACGGUAAUGGGUAAAGAAGCACCGGCUAACUACGUG
RNAcentral lists this ribosomal RNA (468 nucleotides) under uncultured bacterium. Its description in RNAcentral is "partial 16S ribosomal RNA". It matches the Rfam family "Bacterial small subunit ribosomal RNA", at positions 28 to 507 of the family's 1533-position model. The record is from RNAcentral.